GCGGGUGUAGCUCAGGUGGUUAGAGCGCCUGGUUGUGGCCCAGGAGGUCGUGGGUUCAAGUCCCAUCACUCGCCCCA
RNAcentral lists this transfer RNA (77 nucleotides) under Armatimonadota bacterium. Its description in RNAcentral is "Armatimonadetes bacterium tRNA-His". It matches the Rfam family "tRNA". Rfam says of the family: Transfer RNA (tRNA) molecules are approximately 80 nucleotides in length. Their secondary structure includes four short double-helical elements and three loops (D, anti-codon, and T loops). The record is from RNAcentral. RNAcentral also lists the same sequence under 2 other names. Lineage: Bacteria; Bacillati; Armatimonadota.